GUAAGGUGAUAUGAACCGUUAUAACCGGCGAUUUCCGAAUGGGGAAACCCAGUGUGUUUCGACACACUAUCAUUAACUGAAUCCAUAGGUUAAUGAGGCGAACCGGGGGAACUGAAACAUCUAAGUACCCCGAGGAAAAGAAAUCAACCGAGAUUCCCCCAGUAGCGGCGAGCGAACGGGGAGCAGCCCAGAGCCUGAAUCAGUGUGUGUGUUAGUGGAAGCGUCUGGAAAGGCGCGCGAUACAGGGUGACAGCCCCGUACACAAAAAUGCACAUGCUGUGAGCUCGAUGAGUAGGGCGGGACACGUGGUAUCCUGUCUGAAUAUGGGGGGACCAUCCUCCAAGGCUAAAUACUCCUGACUGACCGAUAGUGAACCAGUACCGUGAGGGAAAGGCGAAAAGAACCCCGGCGAGGGGAGUGAAAAAGAACCUGAAACCGUGUACGUACAAGCAGUGGGAGCACGCUUAGGCGUGUGACUGCGUACCUUUUGUAUAAUGGGUCAGCGACUUAUAUUCUGUAGCAAGGUUAACCGAAUAGGGGAGCCGAAGGGAAACCGAGUCUUAACUGGGCGUUAAGUUGCAGGGUAUAGACCCGAAACCCGGUGAUCUAGCCAUGGGCAGGUUGAAGGUUGGGUAACACUAACUGGAGGACCGAACCGACUAAUGUUGAAAAAUUAGCGGAUGACUUGUGGCUGGGGGUGAAAGGCCAAUCAAACCGGGAGAUAGCUGGUUCUCCCCGAAAGCUAUUUAGGUAGCGCCUCGUGAAUUCAUCUCCGGGGGUAGAGCACUGUUUCGGCAAGGGGGUCAUCCCGACUUACCAACCCGAUGCAAACUGCGAAUACCGGAGAAUGUUAUCACGGGAGACACACGGCGGGUGCUAACGUCCGUCGUGAAGAGGGAAACAACCCAGACCGCCAGCUAAGGUCCCAAAGUCAUGGUUAAGUGGGAAACGAUGUGGGAAGGCCCAGACAGCCAGGAUGUUGGCUUAGAAGCAGCCAUCAUUUAAAGAAAGCGUAAUAGCUCACUGGUCGAGUCGGCCUGCGCGGAAGAUGUAACGGGGCUAAACCAUGCACCGAAGCUGCGGCAGCGACGCUGAUGCGUUGUUGGGUAGGGGAGCGUUCUGUAAGCCUGCGAAGGUGUGCUGUGAGGCAUGCUGGAGGUAUCAGAAGUGCGAAUGCUGACAUAAGUAACGAUAAAGCGGGUGAAAAGCCCGCUCGCCGGAAGACCAAGGGUUCCUGUCCAACGUUAAUCGGGGCAGGGUGAGUCGACCCCUAAGGCGAGGCCGAAAGGCGUAGUCGAUGGGAAACAGGUUAAUAUUCCUGUACUUGGUGUUACUGCGAAGGGGGGACGGAGAAGGCUAUGUUGGCCGGGCGACGGUUGUCCCGGUUUAAGCGUGUAGGCUGGUUUUCCAGGCAAAUCCGGAAAAUCAAGGCUGAGGCGUGAUGACGAGGCACUACGGUGCUGAAGCAACAAAUGCCCUGCUUCCAGGAAAAGCCUCUAAGCAUCAGGUAACAUCAAAUCGUACCCCAAACCGACACAGGUGGUCAGGUAGAGAAUACCAAGGCGCUUGAGAGAACUCGGGUGAAGGAACUAGGCAAAAUGGUGCCGUAACUUCGGGAGAAGGCACGCUGAUAUGUAGGUGAGGUCCCUCGCGGAUGGAGCUGAAAUCAGUCGAAGAUACCAGCUGGCUGCAACUGUUUAUUAAAAACACAGCACUGUGCAAACACGAAAGUGGACGUAUACGGUGUGACGCCUGCCCGGUGCCGGAAGGUUAAUUGAUGGGGUUAGCGCAAGCGAAGCUCUUGAUCGAAGCCCCGGUAAACGGCGGCCGUAACUAUAACGGUCCUAAGGUAGCGAAAUUCCUUGUCGGGUAAGUUCCGACCUGCACGAAUGGCGUAAUGAUGGCCAGGCUGUCUCCACCCGAGACUCAGUGAAAUUGAACUCGCUGUGAAGAUGCAGUGUACCCGCGGCAAGACGGAAAGACCCCGUGAACCUUUACUAUAGCUUGACACUGAACAUUGAGCCUUGAUGUGUAGGAUAGGUGGGAGGCUUUGAAGUGUGGACGCCAGUCUGCAUGGAGCCGACCUUGAAAUACCACCCUUUAAUGUUUGAUGUUCUAACGUUGACCCGUAAUCCGGGUUGCGGACAGUGUCUGGUGGGUAGUUUGACUGGGGCGGUCUCCUCCUAAAGAGUAACGGAGGAGCACGAAGGUUGGCUAAUCCUGGUCGGACAUCAGGAGGUUAGUGCAAUGGCAUAAGCCAGCUUGACUGCGAGCGUGACGGCGCGAGCAGGUGCGAAAGCAGGUCAUAGUGAUCCGGUGGUUCUGAAUGGAAGGGCCAUCGCUCAACGGAUAAAAGGUACUCCGGGGAUAACAGGCUGAUACCGCCCAAGAGUUCAUAUCGACGGCGGUGUUUGGCACCUCGAUGUCGGCUCAUCACAUCCUGGGGCUGAAGUAGGUCCCAAGGGUAUGGCUGUUCGCCAUUUAAAGUGGUACGCGAGCUGGGUUUAGAACGUCGUGAGACAGUUCGGUCCCUAUCUGCCGUGGGCGCUGGAGAACUGAGGGGGGCUGCUCCUAGUACGAGAGGACCGGAGUGGACGCAUCACUGGUGUUCGGGUUGUCAUGCCAAUGGCACUGCCCGGUAGCUAAAUGCGGAAGAGAUAAGUGCUGAAAGCAUCUAAGCACGAAACUUGCCCCGAGAUGAGUUCUCCCUGACUCCUUGAGAGUCCUGAAGGAACGUUGAAGACGACGACGUUGAUAGGCCGGGUGUGUAAGCGCAGCGAUGCGUUGAGCUAACCGGUACUAAUGAACCGUGAGGCUUAACCUU
This 2824-nucleotide ribosomal RNA is filed under the name Escherichia coli 7-233-03_S3_C3. RNAcentral describes it as "bacterial LSU rRNA". It matches the Rfam family "Bacterial large subunit ribosomal RNA". Lineage: Bacteria; Pseudomonadati; Pseudomonadota; Gammaproteobacteria; Enterobacterales; Enterobacteriaceae. The record is from RNAcentral.